UGUUUGCUUCAAGACACAUAACUAAAAUUGGAACGGUACAGAGAUGAUUAGCAUAGGCCCUACACAGGAGGCCACUCAUGUCUGUGAAGCAUUCCACAUUUUU
Molecule: small nuclear RNA, 103 nt
Organism: Grammomys surdaster
Lineage: Eukaryota; Metazoa; Chordata; Mammalia; Rodentia; Muridae
Source: RefSeq, a predicted model, not a curated record